CCGAUCGCCUCCUAACGGGAUCGGCCGGUCGAGCCGGCGUCGGUUGGACCCUGGCGAGACCUGACUUGUACCCAUGUUGCUCAAUGGAGGAUGUGGUUAUGAGAA
This 105-nucleotide small RNA is filed under the name Allobosea thiooxidans. RNAcentral's name for it is "Bosea thiooxidans Repression of heat shock gene expression (ROSE) element". It matches the Rfam family "Repression of heat shock gene expression (ROSE) element". Rfam says of the family: This family represents a 5' UTR cis-regulatory element found in heat shock mRNAs and is known as the ROSE (repression of heat shock gene expression) element. The record is from Rfam by way of RNAcentral. Lineage: Bacteria; Pseudomonadati; Pseudomonadota; Alphaproteobacteria; Hyphomicrobiales; Alloboseaceae.